CAUCCCUAGCGCUCUGUGUAGGUGGUGACGUGGGAGGGGGUGAAAUGCAACCUUUAUUUUCCUAACUGCCUGUCAUCCAAUUCCCCGUUUCCCUCUGACUUGCAUGAGUGAUGAGGUCAUCCCGGCGCAGAAAAAUCCAACUCCUAUUUUUCAGACCCAAUAAAGGCCGGCAUUGUGUGUCUGCGUAAACACAGGCCAGACGGGCAGGGCGGCGGGGACACGAGUGGCCCGCCCUCUGGCGGUCGCAGGAGACGAUGGUGCCCCGAGCUCCACCGCCCCGAACAACGGCAGGGAGGCGGAGAGGGUGCGUGCUAAAAUGUAUCCUUUUCCACUUAUUAUAAAAUCUUUGAGUUGGAAGAAAAUUUAGAGGACAUUUGUUCAAAUCUACCACUUAAGAUGGGCACUUCUGGAUUCAAACUGGUGUUCCAGUAUGCACCAUGUGGCUUGCCCACUGCUAGUCAUGGGAGAUGUUUCAAAAAUGGAGACAGGACCCCAGCCCCAAAGGACUCAUCAUGAUGCGGUGACAUACAUAAGACCCUGGCUGUGCAUCUGUGACUAUGAACCGUGGCCAAAUGAGAAAAGCCUGAUAGAUGUGGCUGGAGUGAUUAAUAGCAGCCUGUCUCAGAGCUCUGAGAGUGUGUGUUUUCAGGGCAGGAGUUAGGAGGGAGGAAUCCAGAGAUGGGGCCAGUGAAGAUGGCCCGGUUUAUGCCUUACCCACUGUUACAAGUUAAUGAAUCUAAUGAACCGCCAGGGGAAAUGAUUUGCCUGAGAAACCGAAGAGCCUGAAGGUGGGAACUCAUCUUGGAAGAAUCCAGCCUAUAAACCAGACCCAGAACCAACACCUUAGUUCUCAAUAAAUCAGAUGGGUCCUCAUCCCA
This 878-nucleotide long non-coding RNA is filed under the name Felis catus (domestic cat). Its description in RNAcentral is "lncRNA (ENSFCAG00000046652.2)". Lineage: Eukaryota; Metazoa; Chordata; Mammalia; Carnivora; Felidae. The record is from RNAcentral.